UACGUAGGUCCCGAGCGUUGUCCGGAUUUAUUGGGCGUAAAGCGAGCGCAGGUGGUUUAUUAAGUCUGGUGUAAAAGGCAGUGGCUCAACCAUUGUAUGCAUUGGAAACUGGUAGACUUGAGUGCAGGAGAGGAGAGUGGAAUUCCAUGUGUAGCGGUGAAAUGCGUAGAUAUAUGGAAGAACCCCGGUGGCGAAAGCGGCUCUCUGGCCUGUAACUGACACUGAGGCUCAAAAGCGUGGGGAGCAAACAGG
RNAcentral lists this ribosomal RNA (252 nucleotides) under uncultured bacterium. RNAcentral's name for it is "partial 16S ribosomal RNA". It matches the Rfam family "Bacterial small subunit ribosomal RNA", at positions 524 to 776 of the family's 1533-position model. The record is from RNAcentral.